RNAcentral lists this ribosomal RNA (629 nucleotides) under Roridomyces roridus. Its description in RNAcentral is "eukaryotic LSU rRNA". The stretch from base 261 to 414 matches the Rfam family "5.8S ribosomal RNA". Lineage: Eukaryota; Fungi; Basidiomycota; Agaricomycetes; Agaricales; Mycenaceae. The record is from RNAcentral.
GCGGAAGGAUCAUUAUUGGAUUUUCGAUGGUUGAAGCUGGCCUUUCGAGGUAACACGCGCCCGUCGUAUCAUCUACCCUUCUUUUUUGUGCACCACCGUAGUCUUUGACGCCAGUGGAGAAAGUGGAGGCCUAACACGCUUCCGGUAAGGUCAUCAGUGGCCUUUCGCUCUGGGCAGAAGCCUUGUGCUUCGAUAAGACUAAUAUAUAAACGAAUGUAUGUCUAGAAUGUCACUUAUGGCUUCGGCCAUUAACAAAAUACAACUUUCAGCAACGGAUCUCUUGGCUCUCCCAUCGAUGAAGAACGCAGCGAAUUGCGAUAACUAAUGUGAAUUGCAGAAUCCAGUGAAUCAUCGAGUCUUUGAACGCACCUUGCGCCCUUUGGUAUUCCGAAGGGCAUGCCUGUUUGAGUGUCUUUAAUAUCUAUCAACCAUUUUUGUGUGCUUGCAUGCAACUUGGCUUGGAUGUGAGGGUUAUUGCUGGCUUUCGUGGUCUGCUCCCUUUAAAUGCAUUAGUGGAAUCUUCCUGCAGCCGGUCUUUCCGUGUGAUAUACCUUUACGCGGUCUGUACUUGUGGGGAGGCCUGCUCAUAACCGUCCGAAAGGACAAUUUUCUUAAGACAUGACCUCAAA